GACGAACGCUGGCGGCGUGCCUAAUACAUGCAAGUAGAACGCUGAAGAGAGGAGCUUGCUCUUCUUGGAAGAGUUGCGAACGGGUGAGUAACGCGUAGGUAACCUGCCUUGUAGCGGGGGAUAACUAUUGGAAACGAUAGCUAAUACCGCAUAACAAUGGAUGACCCAUGUCAUUUAUUUGAAAGGGGCAACUGCUCCACUACAAGAUGGACCUGCGUUGUAUUAGCUAGUAGGUGAGGUAACGGCUCACCUAGGCGACGAUACAUAGCCGACCUGAGAGGGUGAUCGGCCACACUUGUACUGAGACACGGCCCAGACUCCUACGAGAGGCAGCAGUAGGGAAUCUUCGGCAAUGUGGGCAGCCCUGACCGAGCAACGCCGCGUGAGUGAAGAAGGUUUUCGGAUCGUAAAGCUCUGUUGUAAGUCAAGAACGAGUGUGAGAGUGGAAAGUUCACACUGUGACGGUAGCUUACCAGAAAGGGACGGCUAACUACGUGCCAGCAGCCGCCGUAA
This 513-nucleotide ribosomal RNA is filed under the name uncultured bacterium. Its description in RNAcentral is "partial 16S ribosomal RNA". It matches the Rfam family "Bacterial small subunit ribosomal RNA", at positions 28 to 523 of the family's 1533-position model. The record is from RNAcentral.